RNAcentral lists this long non-coding RNA (455 nucleotides) under Linum usitatissimum (flax). RNAcentral's name for it is "long non-coding RNA (LUSI_LNC004015)". Lineage: Eukaryota; Viridiplantae; Streptophyta; Magnoliopsida; Malpighiales; Linaceae. The record is from RNAcentral.
CGUGUUAUAGUUAACUAACAAACAAGCAAAACAGUACUCAAGCCCAUAUAAGAAAAUACAACAAUAGGGGCUAAAAGGAAUAUAUCUGAUAGCAUAAGAGAUGACCGGAGAGGUGGCGAUCAGAACUGCGAAGGUGGAGAUCGGAUUGUGAGCUGCAAAGGUGGAGAUGAGAGCUGCAAAAGAUGGAACACACAUGGAUUAAUUCUGAGACCGUCUUUACGAAAAUAAUACUUCAUCAAAAUAAGCUCAAUAACUAAAAACCCCUAAUUCUACAGCAUCAUAAUUUCAAACCUUUCCAAACAUCAUCGAUAUACACUACCAUUCAAAUGCAACAGAGCAUGAUAACAGUAUAAUGAUCUGACUGUUACGAAACAGAUUAAUUCCAAGGACAAAUCACAGCGAACUUACUUAACAAUGUUGAAGAAGACGUGGAAACUGUUGCGCCUGAAAAUAGU